Molecule: transfer RNA, 73 nt
Filed under: Ailuropoda melanoleuca (giant panda)
Lineage: Eukaryota; Metazoa; Chordata; Mammalia; Carnivora; Ursidae
Rfam family: tRNA
About the family: Transfer RNA (tRNA) molecules are approximately 80 nucleotides in length.
Source: Rfam by way of RNAcentral
ACCCAGCUGGCUCAGUGGGAAGAGCAUUUGACUCUUGAUCUUGGGGCUGUGAGUUCAAGCCCCACGUUGGGUG